This 1664-nucleotide long non-coding RNA is filed under the name Canis lupus familiaris (dog). RNAcentral describes it as "lncRNA (ENSCAFG00000053192.1, ENSCAFG00805016359.1, ENSCAFG00845021293.1)". Lineage: Eukaryota; Metazoa; Chordata; Mammalia; Carnivora; Canidae. The record is from RNAcentral.
GAAAGACCAAUCAAGAAGCAGCUAUAUCCUUGCUCUGACUUUGACCUUUCUCAGAGAAGAAUGUGGUUUUGCUAAAAUAAGAAAAGAAUCUAUUGAGGUCAUGCUAUACUUGAUUUUUAUCUUUUAAAAUUUGGCAGAAAUUCUGACCUAAACCUACUGGCUGUGCUGACAAUCCCAUCGAAGAAUUUAUUUAAACUGGUGCCACUGUCACUGGUGCAGAAUCUUGUCUUAGGAAACUUGACAGUUUUGGGAAACCACAGUUUAGAGAUGUAUAAUUUGAUUCUCUAUGGGACAAUUUAAAUCAGAAUUUUUGAAGGGAAAAAUUCUAAUAUAGAGACUCAUUAAGGGAAAAAUUUGCUGAAAACUUCCGUUAGGGGAUAAUUGCUAUGUGGCAUAAGAGAUUUUCCCCUCUUUGGUCAAUUCUUAUAAUAAUUCUUUUUUAUAGAACAAAGCCCUCUGAACUUCAUAUUUGGGGAAGGAAAGGAAGGAAGAAAGAUCUUAAAAUUCUGGGGGAAAUAAAAAAAUGGCUACUCAGUUACCUUUUAGGGGCUCAUCCCAGACAAAAGUAUAAGCAAGUUUCCUCUCCUGCUAUCGUAACUCCCAGUACUCCUGUUUUGUUUUGGGGGUACUGUUUUUACCCCAGUACCCACCUGUUUUGUAUUGCUUCAAACUCUUGUUCUGAGCCAGAUGUUUUUUUAUAAACAAAUUCUCAUUAAGAUGACUUACCUUUCCGAGGAAUACUCACAUUUCAAAAAGAUUUAUAAAUACCAAAAGGCACAUAACUCUGUGCCUUUAGACACUGUGCUUUAGAGCUUAGAAGAGGCUGGUGGGGAACAUAGUAGGGAACCAUAUCAGAAUUCCUGAUUAUAGUACACAGGUUGGUCACACAUGUCUCCUGCAGAAGGUUAGUGUCAGUUCACCAAAAUGCCAAAGAAAAAGAAUCUUGAUUAUUUCUACAUUCAAAUAAAGAAGGAAUAGUUUAAAACUGAUAGCAUAUACAUUUUAUUUUUAAAUUUUAUUUAUUUCUUUGAGAGAGAGAGAACACAAACAGGAGGAGGGGCAGAGGAAGAAGCAGACUCCCCACUGAGCAGGAAGCCUGAUUCAGGACUUGAUCCCAAGACCCUGGAAUCUUGGGAGAAGAUCAGAUGGCAGAUGCCCAACCAACUGAGCCCAGUCACCCUAUUUUUAUUGUUUGAAGCAAAAAAAUCAAGCCAUGGCUCCAAGUCCUAUAUCAACCAUUUCAUUUAACACAUUCAAAAUAUUUUAACUGUUAGGCAAAGGAGAUUCACAAAAUAUUCAUAGAAAAAUAAUAAAUGAAGGCAUCUACCAUGCCUAAUACAUACCUCAGUAUGAGAAAUAAUUAAUCCUUCCAAUUAUAAAUUUUCUUUUUCUGUUACUUGUCAGCUCACUGGGUUUUCCUGGAUUAGGAACAAUGAAAACUCAUACCGACUAUAACAGAUUGUUAGAUUUUCAUUCUCCUGAUUUAAAAAAAGUUGGGCAUCUUAAAGAAAUUCAUAAAUUAUACCGUAUAAAAAUGUAUAAAUGAAGAACAUUGAGAUAAAUGGAAAUGAAGGUAAGAAAAUAAAGUCAUGUGAUUAAUACACAAAAGCCAUGCCAUGAGGAUCCUUCCUGUAAAUAGAGGUGGGCUAUAUUUUUGGUUUUGA